UAUCUGCCUGAAAGACAAACGCUUUUGUCAAACUGUUCACAGACGGUGUUUUAUGGGUUGGAGGGUUUGCUGAGAGACCUACCUGCUGAGAAAGUCUUGCUGAGACAGUCUAAAACGAAAGUAAGAAGACGCUUCUCGCCUGAAUGUCCCUCUGGUCUGGAAUAGAAGUUAUCGAUUGGCAGUGGUGUCCAGUUCCCUGCCGGACGUGUAUGUGGAGAAGCUGCUAGACUUUGUGGCCUCGACCCUGGAGAAUUCCAGGCACUUGCAGUUCUACCUCACCUGGGCUCAGAACCUCCUCACCUUACAUGGGCAGAAGCUCAAGAACAGGUCAGGAGCAAUACUACCGACUAUACAGCAGCUGUUGAAGAGCAUCCAGAGACACCAUGAUGACCUGUCCAAACUGUGAGUCCCUGUCCACUCCAUGCCCAUCAUAUAACAUACAGAUUACAAUGUUGAUAUCUAAAUCUCAAAUCCCAGUCCAUAGUCCAAAUAUGGAAACUAAGCUACAAAAACAGCCCAUUUUGUGUUCGUCAUGGUAACAAUGUCACAACCACAAGCAUAUUUACAUAUGACCAUCCAUUCAGCCUUCAGCAAUAGCGUUAUUACUGCAUACAGUCUGCAGCAGACCUAUUUAGGUGGAAGGUAAAAUUAUUAAAUGCUGUGCUGCCUCAGGCUGCUGGGCAGUAAAUGUAUCAUUACAUAGCAUACAUUUCCAAAGCAUCCCAGAAGAACUUAAUAGUUUGUUCUGUACAUUUUAGCCUGGCAUGAUAGGAUCAGACCAUCAGAACAAAGGUCACAUUAAAAUCAUAUUAAAUCAUAUUAUCAUAUUAAAAGGUUUUAGGCACUUAGGAUUUGUUCAAAUGUAUGUUCAAUUAUUUCCAAAUCUCUAAUCGAAAAAGCCCAGUAUUAUUUGUAAUUAUCAUCCAAAACCUGGUGCUUUGGUGAUGGAAUUUAACAACUCCAUUGAACGCUAGUGGCAUCUAGGAGACAUGUGGAACCAAACUUUGUUUUUCUUGCUCACAGGACUUCCUGUCACUUAUUUAUUGUAUUUAUGUGUAUUUUAUUGUAAGGAGAUACAGUGUUUAAGAACUGCCAAGAUAAAUGGUUUAAAUUAGUGUGCUUAGGUGCACAUUACUGUACACCUGUCUUAAAGGCACAGUACUAAAACGAUUGAUUUAUUUCUAAGGGUUUUUUGGCCCUGUAAAAUUAAUUGCUGUUUUAGUGAUAAAAAAAAAAAAUCUUUUCCCAACAACAUAUAUAAAUGUUCCAUCUGUUCCUAUUUCAGUUUUUGUAACACAAUCGAAGCCUGAGACAAAAUAUCAGUUAUAUUUUAACUUUUUAGGCCAGUGGACAGCUCUCACAACACUGUCCUAUUAAUCUUUAGGUAGCAGACAUGCUUUCAUACCGAACUGCUUGGUAGAUAAGGACUUCCCUUCAGUUUUAAGGGGGCUUGUGAUUCAAGUAGUGACACUGGAGGACACACACACUCACUGCAUUUACUUAGGACAGUUGGAGUAUGCUUUAUUGUUCAUCUUAAGUGCCAAACCACAGACGUUCUUUGACAUGAAAAAUACAAACAGAUGAAACUACCUGUAGCUUCAGCCCAAACAAUGGAGCUAUGAGACCACAGUGAAAGCAAUAAAAUAAAAAGUCAGCGUGGAGGAGAUAUUGAUUAGGCAACAGAGAUACUCUUAACUGCAAAUUCUGCAAAAAUUACAUAUAUCACUGCUGUCGGAACAAAACCUCAUAUCUCCGGUUUUCAGUUUUUGACAUAAUUUAAAAAAUGCCUGUUGCUCUUUACAUUGUGUGCAAAUU
Long non-coding RNA from Colossoma macropomum (tambaqui), 1815 nucleotides. RefSeq lists it as uncharacterized. NCBI's taxonomy places the organism in Eukaryota, Metazoa, Chordata, Actinopteri, Characiformes, Serrasalmidae. The record is from RefSeq and is a predicted model, not a curated record. The transcript is spliced from 3 exons.